UCUCUAGAGUAUGUAGUUUCACAUAUAAAACUUAAGCGAAAGCAUUAGACGCGCAUUGACGCUACUUAUGACAAAAGGCGAUAAUAGAUGUGUGUUUUAUUUAAUUACCCUGCUGGAAUUUUCAUCGAGGAACACAACUUAUACUUGUCUAUCAAACAAUUUUGUCGAAGAAAGAAUACAUGAAAAAUGUUAGAAGCGCUCAUAACCUAACCUUGUGUCCGCUUACAGACUCCAUUGCUAGAGUACUCGAGGAUAAAAGCACGUGACUCACGUAGAAAAAGGAAGACGAGCGGUGGGGAGGAACGACCAUUAAGUAUUAUAUGGCGGGAAACUGCCCAAAAUCGGCGACAAUGGUUGCUUUUUUGCUUACCUUGCUCGCAGAAUUCAUGUCAGUUUGUUGUUAUGCUGGUACUUCACCAUCAGCGGGACAAACAUUCGUACGGUAUUGCCAUCUCGCGUCGUUCUCAGAAUCCUUUCCUUUAAACAAUUAUAACCUCAACUUGUUUUGACUGCUUAUCCUUUCUUUUUUCUCAUCAUCGAACGAACGAAGAUUUUUGCCUUUAACUGAAAUAAUCAUGUUGAUUCUCGACAUAUUAUACAAGAACUAAUUACGAAAACAUAAUAUAGUAAUUUCGAUAUUCGCGUGAUUACUUAUCAUUCGUCACUACAGUGGUGGACUAUACUAUACUUUUACUAUACUUCUAUUAUAUUGUUGGAAUGAAACUGACUUUUCGAAUUAACUUGCCGAUAUGUAUACAUAUCGCUGAUUCAUUUUGAUUUAUAAAUAUAAAAAAAAAACACCAAUGUGUAUGAGAAUAAUGAGAUUUAUUUAAAAAUUACAUUUAAUCAUACAGAAUAGAAAAUAGGAUGGGUGAAAGAAUAUGUGAAAGAAAAAUUUCCAAAUAUUAGAUCUUUGCUUUCCAAAUACAUAGUAUGUAUAUCUCAAAGGUGGCUGCUAUUUAUAAUAAAAAAAAAAAAAAAGAAUACAAUAUAUCUCACUGCCCA
Molecule: long non-coding RNA, 1005 nt
Organism: Bombus terrestris (buff-tailed bumblebee)
Lineage: Eukaryota; Metazoa; Arthropoda; Insecta; Hymenoptera; Apidae
Exons: 2
Source: RefSeq, a predicted model, not a curated record